RNAcentral lists this ribosomal RNA (576 nucleotides) under uncultured bacterium. RNAcentral's name for it is "partial 16S ribosomal RNA". It matches the Rfam family "Bacterial small subunit ribosomal RNA", at positions 355 to 924 of the family's 1533-position model. The record is from RNAcentral.
UGGGGAAUUUUGGACAAUGGGGGAAACCCUGAUCCAGCCAUCCCGCGUGUGCGAUGAAGGCCUUCGGGUUGUAAAGCACUUUUGGCAGGAAAGAAACGUCGCGGGUUAAUACCCCGCGAAACUGACGGUACCUGCAGAAUAAGCACCGGCUAACUACGUGCCAGCAGCCGCGGUAAUACGUAGGGUGCAAGCGUUAAUCGGAAUUACUGGGCGUAAAGCGUGCGCAGGCGGUUCGGAAAGAAAGAUGUGAAAUCCCAGAGCUUAACUUUGGAACUGCAUUUUUAACUACCGGGCUAGAGUGUGUCAGAGGGAGGUGGAAUUCCGCGUGUAGCAGUGAAAUGCGUAGAUAUGCGGAGGAACACCGAUGGCGAAGGCAGCCUCCUGGGAUAACACUGACGCUCAUGCACGAAAGCGUGGGGAGCAAACAGGAUUAGAUACCCUGGUAGUCCACGCCCUAAACGAUGUCAACUAGCUGUUGGGGCCUUCGGGCCUUGGUAGCGCAGCUAACGCGUGAAGUUGACCGCCUGGGGAGUACGGUCGCAAGAUUAAAACUCAAAGGAAUUGGACGGGGUCGAU